RNAcentral lists this ribosomal RNA (233 nucleotides) under uncultured bacterium. Its description in RNAcentral is "partial 16S ribosomal RNA". It matches the Rfam family "Bacterial small subunit ribosomal RNA", at positions 333 to 558 of the family's 1533-position model. The record is from RNAcentral.
UGGUUCCUACGGGGGGCAGCAGUGGGGAAUCUUCCACAAUGGACGAAAGUCUGAUGGAGCAACGCCGCGUGAGUGAAGAAGGGUUUCGGCUCGGAAAACUCUGUUGGUAGUGAAGAAAGAUAGAGGUAGUAACUGGCCUUUAUUUGACGGUAAUUACUUAGAAAGUCACGGCUAACUACGUGCCAGCAGCCGCGGUAAUACGUAGGUGGCAAGCGUUUUCCGGAUUUAUUGGG